RNAcentral lists this transfer RNA (71 nucleotides) under Camelus bactrianus (Bactrian camel). It matches the Rfam family "tRNA". Rfam says of the family: Transfer RNA (tRNA) molecules are approximately 80 nucleotides in length. Their secondary structure includes four short double-helical elements and three loops (D, anti-codon, and T loops). The record is from Rfam by way of RNAcentral. RNAcentral also lists the same sequence under 2 other names. Lineage: Eukaryota; Metazoa; Chordata; Mammalia; Artiodactyla; Camelidae.
GGGGGUAUAGCUCAGUGGUAGAGUGCAUGCUUAGCAUGCAUGAGAUCUUGGGCUCAAUUCUGAGACCUCCA